This 1007-nucleotide ribosomal RNA is filed under the name Salmonella enterica. RNAcentral describes it as "bacterial LSU rRNA". It matches the Rfam family "Bacterial large subunit ribosomal RNA", at positions 140 to 1187 of the family's 2925-position model. The record is from RNAcentral. Lineage: Bacteria; Pseudomonadati; Pseudomonadota; Gammaproteobacteria; Enterobacterales; Enterobacteriaceae.
UCGUCACACUAUCAUUAACUGAAUCCAUAGGUUAAUGAGGCGAACCGGGGGAACUGAAACAUCUAAGUACCCCGAGGAAAAGAAAUCAACCGAGAUUCCCCCAGUAGCGGCGAGCGAACGGGGAGGAGCCCAGAGCCUGAAUCAGCAUGUGUGUUAGUGGAAGCGUCUGGAAAGGCGCGCGAUACAGGGUGACAGCCCCGUACACAAAAGCGCAUGUGCUGUGAGCUCGAUGAGUAGGGCGGGACACGUGGUAUCCUGUCUGAAUAUGGGGGGACCAUCCUCCAAGGCUAAAUACUCCUGACUGACCGAUAGUGAACCAGUACCGUGAGGGAAAGGCGAAAAGAACCCCGGCGAGGGGAGUGAAAAAGAACCUGAAACCGUGUACGUACAAGCAGUGGGAGCACCCUUUGGGGUGUGACUGCGUACCUUUUGUAUAAUGGGUCAGCGACUUAUAUUCUGUAGCAAGGUUAACCGAAUAGGGGAGCCGGAGGGAAACCGAGUCUUAAUUGGGCGUUAAGUUGCAGGGUAUAGACCCGAAACCCGGUGAUCUAGCCAUGGGCAGGUUGAAGGUUGGGUAACACUAACUGGAGGACCGAACCGACUAAUGUUGAAAAAUUAGCGGAUGACCUGUGGCUGGGGGUGAAAGGCCAAUCAAACCGGGAGAUAGCUGGUUCUCCCCGAAAGCUAUUUAGGUAGCGCCUCGUGAAUUCAUCUCCGGGGGUAGAGCACUGUUUCGGCUAGGGGGCCAUCCCGGCUUACCAACCCGAUGCAAACUGCGAAUACCGGAGAAUGUUAUCACGGGAGACACACGGCGGGUGCUAACGUCCGUCGUGAAGAGGGAAACAACCCAGACCGCCAGCUAAGGUCCCAAAGUCAUAGUUAAGUGGGAAACGAUGUGGGAAGGCCCAGACAGCCAGGAUGUUGGCUUAGAAGCAGCCAUCAUUUAAAGAAAGCGUAAUAGCUCACUGGUCGAGUCGGCCUGCGCGGAAGAUGUAACGGGGCUAAAC